AUAAGAUGUAAGAACUGCAUCCCCCCAAAAAUACAGCGGAACAUGAGAUUGUAUGAGUAGGGUAUGAGCAGUUUCAAUAAGAUGUUUAUUCUUUCUUUCAGCUACCCCAUUUUGUUGUGAUGUGUACGGACAAGAUGUUUGAUGAACAAUCCCAUGGGAGUUCAUAAAUUGCUGAAAUGGGGAAGACAAAUACUCUAGGGCAUUAUCACUAUGAAAUGUGCGGAUAGAAACCCUAAAUUGAUUUUGAAUUUCAGCAUGGAAGGUCUGAAAAAUAAAAAAAAACUCUGAUCGAUUUUUCAUCAAAAAUAUCCACGUACACCUGGAAUAAUUAUCAAUGAAAUUGACAAAGUAGCGAAAUACUAAGGUAGAGCUAACCCUACUACGACCCCAAAUAUCUGAAUGGACUAAAGUAAAAGGUGACUCUGCUCGAUUGUCAAGAUGCCGCGGGAAAUAGGAGCGGGUAUGCUUACCGAGCUGACACGACUCACACUCUAGAGUGGACAAGUGAGAUAAGCCAGGUACCAUUUUCUGAAGUUUUGACAACUCGAUUGUCAAGAUGCCGCGGGAAAUAGGAGCGGGUAUGCUUACCGAGCUGACACGACUCACACUCUAGAGUGGACAAGUGAGAUAAGCCAGGUAUCAUUUUCUGAAGUUUUGGCAAACUGGGAUGUCCUAACCGUUUAUGUAAUAAAUCUGGUGAAUCACUAACGGGAGAAGUUAUUGGAGGAAGACAAGAUGCAAGUCCAUGUGAUUUUGCAAGGAUAAGAUAAUAAAGUCCAUCUGAUUCACGUCCGGUACCAAUGAUCCGCCCUGUACUGCGUUCUUGUAUAAAAACAAGGUCAUCUAGAAAUAAAACAGCGGAUUUAAGUGAUUUGGCUAAGCGACUAAGGGCUAUGAGAUUAAAAGGACUACCAGGAACAUAAAGAACUGGGUAGAAAGGUAAGGAAAGAAGUGGACUUGCUUGACUUUCUGCAGUUGCCAUGGCUUGAGACCCGUUGGCCAUUGUGACUAUUGGUAGAGAUUGAGAAUAUGAGAUACUGGUGAAAAGAGAUUUGUUACCAGAUGCAUCUGAAUCAAUGAUCCAAGACUCAGAAGGUGAAGAUUGGGAGACACCAGUGAGGCUACUAUUUGUUGGAACAACGGAGGUUAACCUUGAAGUUGUCUGUUUACAUGCUUGUACUGAAGGAACUCAAUAUAAUCCGGUAAAGAAACCAUCUGGAUUGGAUUUAUUGCAUUUAAUCCCACAGAUUAUGAGUUAAAGGCUUUAGGUACGAAUUCCAUUAUAAUAUGGUGCCGGAAAAAGUAAAUAAUUACUGGGGAUCACUUUUCAUGCCGGAAAUAUCAUUGUAGCUUGCCGAAAAUAGGUACGAUUUCCAUUGUAAUAUUGUAUCGGAAAAAGCAGAAAAUUUCUGGGGAUCACUGUUCACG
This 1428-nucleotide long non-coding RNA is filed under the name Nicotiana benthamiana. Its description in RNAcentral is "long non-coding RNA (NBEN_LNC013734)". The record is from RNAcentral. Lineage: Eukaryota; Viridiplantae; Streptophyta; Magnoliopsida; Solanales; Solanaceae.